CAGAACAUCACGGCAUUUGUUGUGGUAAAUAGUUCAGUGGCAAAGCGCCCGUUCCAUCUGCGGACCUCCAAAUGACCCUGAAUGCAGAGGUACAGAAAAGCUUUCCAUGCUCAUCCAGCCCAUCUCUGGUUACAUGAUAAGAAACGAGGCUGACACAGCAAUAUAAAUGUGACUACUCGCUAAGAAUGACCGCGGGUCAGGCCACAGGAUCCAGGGGAUACCCGGUAACAGAAGCUGUCAUAUUUAUCGCUGGCGUCUUCAGAGCCAGCUUGAGUAGCUGGAGACAGAGCACACAAAAGGACUAUUCAGUGCAGCCCAUGGUCUGAAAUGAAACAGAUGCGCUGUGGAAGUUUGCAAACUCCCCGGCACAGAAGGUUGGCAGAUCUGCGCUCUGUAACCAGGGCCCAUCUUCUUGGCAGAGCGCUCCGCACCCCGGUGCCAGUGGCACUGCUCCUGCUGUGCAGACGAAGGGCGGUCUGGAGGACAAAGCACUCAGCUUGGCAGUUAAAGGCAGGGAGAACUAAACCAAGGCUGAGAGCCCACUCGAGCUUUUAAGCCCUCCCACCAAUUUUGGAUGGUAAGAUUGCCCUGUGGACUCAGGAAAAACUGAUCAGAUUGAAGAGAACCUCCGGGUUCGUCCUGCAAACUGCAUGUGAACUUCCCCUGAGCAGGAAAUACACACUCUUAGGAGAAGUACCAACAAGUAUCACUGGAUCCUCACUCACGUGGGCAGGACCACUGUCCUGAGAGCAGUAUGGCCACCAGAAUCAUUGCUCAGCAGUGGGACCACAGGAGCCACCCUGUGUGGGAGCUCACAGUGCUCCCUUGCAGCCCCAGAUGGGUGUCGAAGCACUGCAGGUCAGGUGCAAGGGAUGGAAGUGGUCUGCUGGGGAAUGACCACCAAUAUGGGGCUGAGGGAAUCUGAAGCCCUGGCAACAGCCAUCCAUUUACUCACCAGACAGAUUGAAAGCAUUGUACAGGACAUCCUGGAUGGACUUUUUCAAACAAUAUGCGGUUUAAUGGUGGGAUUCAUCACCACCCAAUGCUGCGGAGGCCAAAUAUAUAAACAAGUUCAAAAAUGGAUUAGCAAAACUCAUGGAAGAUAGGUCAAUCGUAGACAAUUAAAUAUGGUAGUCCGGAUGCAACUUCCAGUUCAGGAAGUUAGUCAGCCUAAUGCCUUUCCACCUCUGAUUUACUUGUAAAAAGGAAGCCUGAAAAAUUCUCCUGAUGCCAAAACUCUCCCUCGGCUCCAAGCAUUAACUACAAUCACAAUAUACUCUUUUUUAUUUGGCAGGGGGAGGGGAUUACAUUUUCGUUCAGUAAUGAUAUUACAACAUGCUAUUUAUCUCCCCCUGCAGCUCCUGGACCUCUGUGUAACCUCCCAUCUCCCUGUCCUCCUAGGAAUAUCACAAAUAAAUUAGUGAAGUCUACUGGAAGGUGAUAGCAAUCACAGAUACUGCUAAAUUCCAUUUAGCAAGGAAUAAGGAAUCCAAUCACUUAUGUACAUAGGAAAGGUCUGAGUGGAUCACACUGUUAAAACAUUCUGUCCUUCAGAGUACCGGACCAGAGGAAGGUGCUGGAAAGCCAGGAUGGAAAAAAUACGAGCUGGUUUGUCCCCAAGGAAAGUUCUUUGUAACCUCAGGACAGUUAGCACUUGAUUUAUUCCCUGACACAUGCGGGCACAGAGGCUAAUUUUAUACAUAUACACUAAAUACACACAGAGUACAUCGCACACUGUGCUGCUGUGUAUCCCCAUCCCCUUUGGACCCUGUUAAACUCCCACAGGACCCAAAGAGCAGCUGACAGCACAGGUUAUCUGCUCCCUGUCCAGCUGCCCUCCUACCUGCUGCGCUUCUACCCACUACCUCCUUUUUGAGGGUGUUUUGGGGUGUUGCUGGAGAGCAAAGGACAAGAUGACAAAUGAGCUAACACACAGCAACGGAAUGUAAGUGAGUCUCAGCUAUUUUUAAUUAAGAAGCGAUGACAGCUGACUAAAUUCCCUGACACUGCAGUUAAAGGCUCUCUGACCCAGACAUCAUUGGACACUCUCCUACGACCAAUAUAUAUGGGUCCCGACGGUGCUUCUAUUAUUGUCCCCGCCGUCUCGACAGAUGCAGGACUAACAAAAUCUAUGUCUAUUAUCAGCAUGCAAAUAGUGAGAUAAAAGUGUGAAUGCUUAUGAGCCAGAGGAGGCAGCAGGUGAGAGGAGGACAAUGAAGGUCAUUUUCAAGGGAGUGCUGAAAGUGCCAAUGUUUGGCUUUCAAUAAAUGUUCACAAGGUUUAGACAAAUUUAACUGUCAUUUUCAUUUUCGGUUGGUUAAACCAAUGAUGGAUUGACCACGAGAGAGGCAGAGAGACAGAAAGAACAGUUCCUGCUGUAAGGCAGAUAAAAGAUAAGAGGUAAGGCAGCGUGAUCUGUGGACUGACUUCUCUCAGCCCACAGAUCACAGGGAGGGCUCCACAGAGAAAGCUUAUCUUCUCAUUCCCAGACCAAAGAACCCAGCAGCCCGGUAAGGGAAUCUGGAUUUGAAGGCCAGGGAUACACCUGACUUCAUACAAGGAUUCUUUAAAAGAGCUGAGAAUACAAGGUGUCCAGCUCCCACUACCACAACAGGCUGCCUAACCUGCAGUGCAACAAUACACCAUGAAGCCCAUGCUAGGCAAGGUGUCAGCUCUGCAUUGCUUUAGCUGCCUUGGAAAGAUGUCAAGACGAAGAUACCAACCACACAAAGACAAUACAAAACUCACUCACUUACUCAGGGCUUGCACGGGCAAUGAAUCCAGCAUGAGAUCACUUUACCUUGAGCUCACUAGUUGGUUUCAAUAGGACAGACAAAGAAAAGAUGCCCUUCUAUCCUCUCCAAAGGAUCAUGGAGAGAAGGGGUAAACUGGCAGACACGUCAAAGUCAAACAAAUCACGUACAAACUUGGCAUGAGCGAGACAAACACAUUAAGGAACAUCAUCAGGAACUUUCCAGUAUGGUUGCACAGUGGGAGGGGGAAAGAGAUGCUUUCUGCUGUUGCUAAGACAGUUCCCCCAGCCUUAUUCUCUCUACCAACCCAAUCGACGGGUGUUCUCCUCCCAUUGGCUCACCAGCUGCAUCGAAUGAUCAUGACAGGUUUUCGUCCUCCUCGCCCUAUUGGCUUCUGCCUAUGGCCUAUUAUCAGGGGAGAGCAAAUCAGACACGUAAUCAAUAGUUUGCGAGAAGGAACAGGGCUGCAUGAUGCUACAUUUGCAUGAAAUCUCUUGCUGCUAUGCCUCUGCAUUCAGAUAAGCACAGAUUAGCUGCAUCAGCCGCGCUUGCAGAGGUGAGCGUAGAUGGCAGACGGAUAGCAAAGCAGCACUGCAGUGAGCUGCCAAGGAAAGGCAGCACUGAACGCUCCAGUCCUGCUCUACAGAAGGUAAACCAGUGUGAAUCAAAGACCACCAGCAUCCUGCCCCAGCAUCAGUCUAGAUGUAUGCAGAAAACUUUUUUUGGUCGCCCACUGAACUACUAUUCCUGGCUUGGGUGCUCCUCAGGGCAAUGAGCUACAAGAAUAACAAAAAGGUGCAUAGCAGGGGAGAGAUCUUCCCUGUAGUGCCAUAAGUGAUGCCCUCUCCAGCAGGGAUGUAUGAAGAUGCUUUGUUUGAAGGCCUCCAGAAGCAUUCUGGGGUAGGCAGAGAGCAUGGAAGCACUCCACAAGGCCGCAGACAGCUUUCCUGGCCAGAUACAGGAUGGUGUGUGACAAGUCAGCCUCCAUAGCCACGCUCCUUGGUCACCACAAGGCCUGCAGGGACAUGGGAACAGUGGUUUCUUCAUCUUGCAGCCACAAAAACCCAUUAUUAGGCAGAAGAGCACAGCAGUAGUGGGAUAGUUUCCAGUCCCACCACAGCCCAGGUCAAGGCCUGGAACAAGAAGUGGCAGAUGAGUUGCAAUCGGUUUCCAACUAUAAGUAACGCUGCCUUGAACCAACAGCACACGUAUGAAACACCCGUGUAAAACAACCAGAUGUUGCCAAUGGCUUUCAAAUCAACCACAAAAUAAAACUCCUUCUUAAGGAUGGGAACCUCAGACACCAGGGGAUCAAGUGCACCACCAAGUCAAGCGCAGUUAACUAGUGAACCAGCCCCAGCCUUAAAGCUUUAAAUUCCCUGACGAAAUAUCCCCAGGCAUGUUUGGACAACAGGGAACAGCAGCCCUUCGGCUAUUUUCCUUUGCCACACAGGUGACUCAGUAUCCGGACUACAGAAGAAAAACUGGUGUUUCCUUUUCUGUCCAGGACCACAAGUGACUGGCAGCAGAAGGAGCUCAGUCCAGCUUCCAGCCUGCUCCUAACGGAGGAACACACAACUAAAAGAGGCCGAGGAACCCAGCAAACCCAUCCACUGCAGUUGGACAUGUGCACAUUCAAUGUACAUACACAGUCCAUGUACUUUCUUCCCUUAACAAUAAGCAGGUUCAUUUAGGAAGAGUUAUAACUUAGACUGUUAUAGCACAACUACGAGGCAAGACAGGAAAAUAUUCUCUGGAAAUUUCCACUGCCAACCUAUUUUUUUUUUCUGGAGGAGCAGUUGGACAAAAUACAGUGGAUCAGUUAAAAAAAAUUCUAAGUUUUUGACCUGAAUUCAUUCAUAUUUCUCACAUCGGUGGGGAUGGUUUCUUCAACAUAAGGUGGACUUUGAAGUUAGAAGGCAGAAAGAGAAAAGAGCCCAUCUAAUAAUUAGGUUCAAACCCCUACUUGAUCUCACCCUGUAAGGACCUUGAAUUAGGUCUACAGUUACCUAUCUGGCUUCAAGUAUUUUGGGAUCUCUCUCCAGCUGAUAUGGUCUAAGUUGCAUCCUAAGGCAGAACAGGAAGAAUGCUCUGAGUUCUCAAAAACGUUCAUGACUUUGGACAAAUACAUUAUAUUCAGCUUCAAAACAACUCCGUUCUCUUUUUGAUCUUAUGUAAUAGUCUAGAUGUCUGUGUUUUGAUUCCUCCCAAUUGUGCACUCAAACUGGUACAGAGCUCCAUGAAAGAAAAUUAAUGGACUGGAAGGAAACGUACACUUUUUUCUCUCUCUAAACCAUGUGCCUCUUUCCAGAGAAGAAAAGCAUGAAAUUUAGCAACAACUGAGCUGAUAAAACAAACUCAAAUAAGAACUCCUAUCAUAAGCUAAGUCUGCUUCAGCCACUCAAGAAGAUGGUACCAAUGAAUGAAGCCUUGUAGAUCAAUAAAAACCUCUUAAAUAAAACGAGAGCUCUUUCAGACUAAUUCAAGAAGCAUCCUACAAUGAAAAAAGAUUCUGUCCCUGAUGGCCUGGGAUCAGACUUCUUUUCUCCAUACUCUUAGUGCCUACACAACGGCAUUUAUCUGGACCAAUUAGAUUCUUACCAGGAACGUGUAGGAAAUACUCCACGCAAAGGUGAAGCUGCUAUGUUACAACCUAUGUUGCUCUGACUAUUAUGGUGAUCAGUUCACUUUUGAUUGAGCACUUCAUCACCAAAAUAGGAAGGGGUUCUCCCUUACCUGGGAAUGAAUUCAGUCCUGAAUGGCCUUGUUGGUGAGUUUGCAGCAAGAAGGCAAAAAAGGAUGGAUGCGCACUUCUUCGUCUCCACCUCGCAGCAGGCACAACCUAGGAUAACAACAAUGAGAAACAUAUAGAUAUAAGCCCAAUGGAUGAUCAGGCAGCAAACAUAGGGACGGGAAGGAAAUAAAACCUCUGAGCCUUUCUCGGGGAUACAGAGUGCUCAGACACCUUCUGCUAUCUGUUCAUCCCACAGCAAUACCGAGACAUUCCGUACAGCCCCAACGGCCGUACGCAGCAGUGCAGGCAAAGGAAACAAAGCUGGAGCUCAAGCAGGGGAACACUGGUGUUCACAGGUCUGCUUCCACACCCCAGCCCUGCUCAUGAUAUAUCUGUCUCUAGCUCAGAGCUUGGACCUCAGGGCUUUCAGGCUGCCAUUUACCAGCAGUCCUGGUGGAGAAGGAGGAGUCAAGAAACCCGAGAGCCAUUUCUGAGCCAAAAGGUUUUGUUCAGAUUCAUUUUCAACUUUUCAUUUUGAAAUGUUUUCGUAAUUCCCAGCAUCUCUCCUUUCAGAUCUGCCUCACUUUAAAAAAUGCUGGAAUGUCACUGCUCUUCUAAUUGUUGUUCCAUAGAGAUAACUGUUUUCUGUAUGCAUUUCAGAAUUGUUACAAGAAACAAUCCAAGAAUAUAGCCAUCCUUUCUUAGUACACUGUAUAACUGUUCAUGAAGGGUUUCAACUUGUCUUGAUCUGCUUCUGGUUUGUUUCCCAGCUUCAUCUCAUUAGUACAAUAUCUGAAGGAGUUCAUAUUAUUAAUAAAGCCAAACCACAGGAAUACAUCUCGUAACUGCUCUAUUUCUCUGAUGCCGAAGGCUAGUAAAAGGUCUCCAAACUUCAAUUUCAUCUUUUAAUAGCUCUAUGCAAGGUAACUCAACGUUACUAGUCCCAUUUUGCUAUUAAACAGAGGCACGGAAGAGUGAUAAGAACAGUCCCAGGCCAUAAAACAAGUAGAAAAAGACAACCAAACCCUGAGUCCUGAUCCACAGCCUCCUGCUCCGUCCCAGAGGACAACAUUCUUUCCUAUGACUACUAAAAAUAUUGGGGUCUCCUGUGAAACAGACGGCAGUGCUAAUUUUUGAGGUGAAACGAGCUACCCAGCAUGGGAAACCAUGGAAGAGAAUAUAAUACUCUCAACUUCCUGAACUAUUGUACAAUAAACAGCUUCAGAGCUGGUUUUCCACAGAGACACCUGUAUUUUAGGAACAGAUAAGAAACGACACGUGCAUAUACGUGGUCACACCUUCUUUUUUCCUAGCUGCAUACACAUACAUAGCCAACAUGCACAAAAAUAAAAUACAUGUGUGUAUAUUAAAUAUGCAUCCAUCCGUAUCAAAGUCACCACAACCAGAAGGAGCUUUGAAGUUUGACUCAGCACGGCCUGAAAAAAAUGCACAGAAGCACAAGAGCCAGCAAAUCCUGAGCUCAGACCCAAGAUGUGACUCACCAGGUCGUCGGGAGCAACUCAAUACUUUCACUGCCUUGGUUUCCCCAGCUGUAAAACAGAGCUAAUUACACCACAGCGCAGCUGUGGGAAUGAGCUGCCUGCUCUGUGCACAGUGCUUCAGGCACAGAAAAUGCAAAGACCUGCUUGAAUGAGAGUCUGAAGCCAAGGCACUUCCUUCAAGAUGCCUCUCCCCAGCAGCCACGCAUUGCACCUGCCCAUAAAACGCCCAAGCUUCCCAUUUGUCCAUUGGUCACAACUUUAUGCCCUUCCCUCAACAUGUGCCACCCCACAGCCCUCUCCCAACGUCACCACCUGGCUACCUCUCCAUAUAUUUCUAUAACUCUUCAGAAGUGCUACAUAAGCCAGGAGUGCCUUUGGUACCAAUGCCAGUGGCUCUCAUGAAUGCCGACUCUUAAAACAGAGAGAAUAAGCAAACUAACCUUGUUAGUUUCCAGGCUCAUUUGUUUAGGAUGACAGAUUGACAAACAUGGUCUCUUCCACCUUUUUCUUUUUACAAACAGCUUUUUAUAUCUCAUACCCCAAAAUAAGCCCUGACCCAGCUGCGCUGCCAUGUUAAACAGUAAUUACUCUAUAUAAGGCUGACCGAAUGGGAAUAUUUGUGGGACAGUGGAAUGGAAUUAUUUUAGGACUUACACAAACUCUCUCUGGGAGUGGCAAGGCUGGCUGUGGGUAAUGUGGUGUACCUAAGAAACAAGUGGACACAGGAAGGUUUUUUCUUCUUCUUCCAGGCCUCCAUUAAAACACACAAUAGCUGACAUUAAACCACUUUCCCAAACUUCUACUCAGGUAAAAAGAUAAAACUAAAAAAAAUGUAUUAAAAAUACAUAUUAAUGUUUCAUCCUGGCUAUGUUAAGGAUGCACUCACCAUCUUUUGGCCACAUCUGGGCCCACUGGAUACUUGUUACUCACAGAGGAUGAGCCCAUCAAUACAUCAACCCCUUCCCCUCUCAAGUACUCAGAGCAUCAUUUCCAAGGACCUCAUUUGAAGCAGGUGAGAGCUUGCAAACAGAACUGCUCUCACCUGGGGCACGGCCUGCCUUGUAGGAGGGUGGGGAUCUCUGCGGGGAAUCCUAGAGGAGGCUGACAGAGCUUACAGAGUGGCAAUGCUCAGUUCAAAAAACCUGCAGAAAUUAGUGGCAUGCCAUUCUGGUGCAAGUGGCAGUUUUCCAGUUUCCAAAAUAUCCCUCCUCCUUAUGUCACGGUAAAAAAGUGUAAAAACAGAAAGUGGUUUAGCAAGUAGGAACAUUGCAAUUCAAAAUAGCAUCAGAGAGGAUUAGAGCAAAUACCCAGACUGUUCUAACGUGUGUUUACGGCCCAAAUACUGUACCAAUUCCUGUUAUUUUCAGGGCUUUCUUCCUGUGUUGUAACAUUCUCUCUGGGAUUAAACUUGGCCCAUACAACAUGUGACUCAUCUGACUGCAAGUCCUUGGGCAUGUGCUGCAGGUUUGGUUGCUGCUCAUUGCUGACGACCCAUCCUACAACCUCAGAGCCCAAUGCAACACAUUACACUGGGACUUUUGCUGAAGGGGUAGGAAGAAAAUGACAGCAUCUGCCUAACGCUAAAUUUUCACGCUUAAUUAAGGACUUGAAAAAUAAGUCAGUUUUCUGAGCAGGAUGGUGGGUGAAAAAUAAAAGAAAGUGAGUUUUUAAUGAUUUCAGAGAAACACGAGCCCAUUCUCUCGUCACCGUGCACCCUUGCAGCCAGGAAUUUCAUGUUAGAAAUUCGUUGCUAUGGAACUCAUGUUAUCUGCAGCAUGGAGCACUGCUGAUGGCCAAGCUAAUCCCAGGUGGCACUCCUCUGCCUUCACUGAUGUAAAACAGAUUCACUGCUUUCAGGUUUGCCUUUCAUUCUACCUGACUUCCUGCGUUCCAGAAGGUAACUCCUUUUUCUGCUCCUGUCUCUGAUUAGUUCCUUGUGUUACCUCUACACGAUGAGAGUAUUCAAUACUGAACCCAACCUGCUGGUCUUCAUUCUCCUUCUGUAACCUGCACAAGCACCAGCACCCCACCAAAACUCCCUUCUGACACAGUAUUGCCUUCAGAGUUAGUGUGAAACUCACAGGUGAGCUCAAUUUUAGCUGUAAUGAGGCACAAGAUGUAGCAGGAGCUAACUGAAAGAAUAAGAAUUCAAAGAAUAGAAACAGGGAAAAAAAUCAACUGUGCAGAAGUAAUGGAUUUGUGAGCCUAGCAACAGGCUACGAGGUCUUCUAGCUCUUAAUUAUCACUUCAAAUCAUAAUUAUCAAAGGUCUUCCAAUAGAAAGAAAAAAAAAAAGAUAAUCACUUCCACUGACUGAAUGCUGAAUAUCUCACCUGGAAGCAGAUAAGCAGAUCCCCCCCGAGGUUGUUUGCCAGUGGGAAGGAGCAACCAUGAACUGGGAAAGCAGCUUCUGUUGUCUGGUUCAGAGAAGGGACUUCACCAGUACUGGCAGACCCUGAAAGAGAAGGAAAUUCUUGCUCAGUGGUGGAAUUAGAAGCGAUGGGAGGCCAUGAUGAGAGGAAGUACUGCACACCAAGUUGGGAGGAAGCAUUGGACACCAUGUUAGGAGGAAGCACUGGACGUGCCUGGGGGAAGGAAGGCCUGGUGUAGGGAUGCAGACAGGCUGCAUGGUUGGGCUGAGGCCAGCUGUAGGAGGUUCAACAAGACCAAGUGCCAACUUUUAGAUUCACCCUCCUAACGCUGACGGUGCUGACUGAGUGCAGCUCCGUGCUCACACUUCUCCUUUCAUUGUGACCAGACUGAUGUGCGUGUCACUCUCAAUCUCUUAUAUUCCACAGCCCUCCUUUAAAAACAAUCAAACGAUCACAACGUAGGAAUUAGAGACGCUUAAACAGAAUUAUGGAAAGUAAACACACAUACCUUCUGUGCCGCUGGGUUGCUGUAAAACACUGCUUUAUUUCUUCUCUCUCAGCCAACAUUCACCUACAUGGGACAAAAAAAAUUUAAAUUCAAAUGUUACAUCUGGUUGCUUACCAACACAAGGUUUGUUUACAAACGAAAACGUCUUUGGCGCAGUUUGACCCAAAGCCAAGUGAAGUUCGAAGAUUUGGAAACAGAACCAUUAGCAGACUUCAGCUCACACUGCACUACAAAUGUGGCUCAGCUUAAGAAUCCAUUGCAACUACAAACUGCUCUCCCUGUUCUGUUAUUGUUCUCCUGCUAUAUCCAAACAGAAUUUCCCUUGUUGCAGCUAUGAUCUUAAUUAAUGCCCUUAGUACUGAGGUACUAAUUAAAUAAAAGCACUGUUACAUACACUAGGUAAAGCAAGGCAUGCUGGUACAAACUGCCCAGCAUCAAAUAUUAGGGACAGAGCUGCAAAUACAACAUCAGGGCCCAAAUUCCCCAUCUUCUGUCACCUUUUAGACCAAACAGCCUCUGAUGAAGUGCCAGAGAGGAAAAUACGAGCAGAACCUCUGCUUAGGCUUCUUCUUUCUAGCUGUAGCAGAGCUCCAUGCAGGGAAGGAGUGCAAUCACACGGGGCCAGAUGUUCAGCACAUCAAAAUCCAUCAACUCCAGCGCCUUCAGUGAAGCUAUGCCAAUUUACAUCAGUUGAUGGUGUGACCUAUAUUACGAAAACUUGCUUGAAGCAGCUAAGGAAUAUAACCCUGAUUUAUUCCAAAUACAUUAUAUUUAGCGCCGUCACUUCUCUCUUUCAUGCCAACAUGCAAGCACAGGAGACAGACACAUUUGGAUCCUCUCAGCUGGGAAUCGUGUUCUUGCAACACUCCUAGAUGAUGCACAUACUGUCUCUAUUUGUGUUCACCCUUUCAGAUGGCAUGCUGCCCACAAAAGAAGCUGAUUAGCGCUUGCCCUGGGCUAUCAAGGCAAGGCAAUGACUCAAAGCUGCCCGCACCCAGGGUUGGCUGAAGCCAUCACACAAAGCCCUGCGACACAUCCCCCCAGCGAAGGGCCGCUGAGCUCCCCCGGCCUGGCAAAGGAUCAGCAGUCCUGAAAACAGAGCACAGCCAACUUCAACACAAACAGCCCAGGAUGAGACAGCACUAUUUUGGACCCAGCCGAUGCAGAAGCGCAGUGGGUUGGGCUCCUUCAACCCCGGGCUGCUCUGCUGCUCCUCUGAGCCCCAGAAUUCCCACCUGCUCACACACAAAUGCUGCAGAGGAAAAGGAGAAUUUGAGGCACUGAGCCCGGCAGAGCUGCAGCCCCAGUGAGAAUGAUGCUUCUGCUCACGGCCAUGGGCACUCCCUGACUCGUGCAAGGAGUCCAGGAGCUGUGUGCAACGGCUCUGCUGUCCUCUGCUUGGCAUCAGGUAUGUGCAAGCAAGCAGAGACAGGUGGAGGGGAGCACCUACUGCUUUUCUGCCUCAUGCUGCACAGGACUUAAAGCUCUGCUCCAUUUUAUAACGCUGAGGCUCUUCCAGAAGACACAAAAUACACAGAUAAGCCAUGUUCUCACUGACCCAUGCUCCACUCAGCACAAGGAUUCCUCUGCAAGAAAAGCUCCUGAAAUCCACAUGGUUCCUUUCUUAUUUACCUUUUUUAUCUUUGCUCAUUUUCUACAAAGAAAAGUAACCCAACCUCGGUUCAGUAUAAACCUAGCUGGAAACAAAAAC
RNAcentral lists this long non-coding RNA (11579 nucleotides) under Gallus gallus (chicken). RNAcentral's name for it is "lncRNA (ENSGALG00010026339.1)". The record is from RNAcentral. Lineage: Eukaryota; Metazoa; Chordata; Aves; Galliformes; Phasianidae.